RNAcentral lists this long non-coding RNA (265 nucleotides) under Hordeum vulgare. RNAcentral describes it as "long non-coding RNA (HVUL_LNC014193)". Lineage: Eukaryota; Viridiplantae; Streptophyta; Magnoliopsida; Poales; Poaceae. The record is from RNAcentral.
UCUCUCUCUCUCUCUCUCUCUCUCUCUCAUCUCUCGUCUUCCACGCGAUCUGCCGCCACGAGCAUCACCUCAACCUUCGGUUAUGCGCCUCGUCCACCUUGCUUUCGAGAUACAGCACAUCCAUAUCAUUCUCGUCCACGUCCAUCGGGAGGAACAUGCCGAAAAGGAGAGGUACUGGCUAACCCUAGAUCGGAAUUCCAGGUGGUGUAAGGGAUACGGGUGAGGAAGAUGGAUAAGCGGCGGGUGCAGGGGCCGAGUAUUCUUU